ACGAGCCAAGAAGCAGCUGGCGGACUUUGGCAGGUGCAGUCAGAGACAGACAGGACUGCAUUCUGGGUUUCCCAGCUGGAGCAAUGCCAGGGAGUGGCUGGCCCUUGUGCAGCCAUGGGAGUGGGUGGCGGAGUUGAGACGGAAGGGAAGUCACUGUAACCGGAAGACCCUGCGCAGCUGAGUCAGCGGGUGAAGGCUGUCCUGGAGCGAACAGCAACCCUGAGACGUGGGAGUUAGGAUCUUCGGGGCAGGACGGUGUUCAGGAUGGGGAGCAGCUGCUGAGGAUGUUGCAUCCUAACCCUAACUUGUGGGCAUGCUGUGGGGACUGCUAGCCCUGAGAACUGUUCGAGCUGGGAAGAAAGUGAUGACAAGGCUCAGCAGAAGAAGAUGUGCUCUACAGAAUGAAGUGGUGUGGUGGAGAAGGGACAGGUGGUCAUAACUGUGAGACUCACACACUGCUUUUCAUCCUCAUCCAUGAGCUAAUCUGCCCUCACCACGAGUCUGUGAGGUAUGCAAGGAUUAUAUUUCUUCUUGUUAUAUCCAUGAGGAACCUGAGAGAUUUCUGGAAAGCCUGGGAUAAGCAACUAAUGUGUCAAAGGACUGCUAAAUCCAGUCUUGACUCUAGCUCCGUCAUAUGCCACUGCCUCAGCCAGAAGAACACACCACCUUCGGAGAUGCUGUGGGCAUGGCCACCAGUCCUCCCUCUUCCCUUUCUUCAUCAUUACUGUCAUCCUCCUCAUCCCACCAUCAUCACCAUUGUCAUCUGCUUCAUCCUAAAGGUACUGCCGGGAAUAGGUAAAUGGCAUCGAACAACAGAACAAAGUGGGCUCCCUCUGGAAUGCGAAUGGGAAACUCAGUACAAUCAGCACAGCAGGUAAUAAAUUCAGGGAAUUGAACCCUUGGGAAACUAGAAGAAAUCGCAUUGACCACAGGCUGGGCAGAGAAGGCUGAGAAGCCCAAAUUGGAGCAACAAAUGCUUUGCCAUCUGAAGAGGGUGACACAGCCAUCUUGAAGAGGGGAGUGCUGUGCUCUCCCUUCGAGCUGCAUAUGAGGGUCUAGUCACAGAAGAAGAGCUGAGCCUGAAAACUCCACACCACCCUUCUAGUGAUGCUUUUUCCUGAUAGAGCCCACUUUAAAAAGAUGAUCGUUUUGGAAACAGUGAUCUUCUCCGUCUAGUUCAUUUGAAGCCUCUGCCCGAGCCGAGAGAUUUUGAUGCCAGAAACAAAUGCCAAAUGGCAGAAGGGAAUGGACCGCAGAGCUGCCUCUCGAGCGGUGUAGAUAUCUGAAGUGAAGCACUGUGGGUGCAGACUGGGACAGAGAAGAGGCCAGAGAUCGGUGACCUGACAAGGGCUUCCGUCUGCGCCCCGGUGGUGACACCUUGAUUUAGGACCUGGAGAAGGCAUCCUUUACACGAAAAACAGUAUCUCUGCUAGCUGCUGAGUGCGAAUGUACUCAGUGGUGAGAUGCUAUAGGCGUUCUUCCCAAAGUCAAGAU
Fukomys damarensis (Damara mole-rat) is the source of this 1494-nucleotide long non-coding RNA. The record is from Ensembl. Lineage: Eukaryota; Metazoa; Chordata; Mammalia; Rodentia; Bathyergidae.